RNAcentral lists this ribosomal RNA (378 nucleotides) under Triticum aestivum (bread wheat). RNAcentral's name for it is "partial small subunit ribosomal RNA". The record is from RNAcentral. Lineage: Eukaryota; Viridiplantae; Streptophyta; Magnoliopsida; Poales; Poaceae.
AUGGCGCCGCCGGCCCUCAUUCUCGCCGGAUCCGGCCGCCUCCACGCCAAAUCCGCCGGAAAUGGAUCCGUCCCGGCCAGAUCCGCCCGGAUCCGACCGGGCCCCGCCGUCGUCGCCACCGGAGCGCCACCCCGCUCAACCUGCAGCGCCACCUUCCACCGGCAGGCCUUGGAGAACCUCAUCUCUCUGAUUUCCUCUCAAUUUUUGCAGGAUGGGCAAGAACCAGAUAUAGUAGUUACAUCUAAAGGGAUGAAUUUAGAGGAAGAUGCAGCAAGAAUUGAUCGAGUAAAAAGGCAACUUCGGCAUGCCAAUGGGACCUUUUCAGUAAGUGCUUUGACUCUGUUUUUUCAUGGCCAUGUGUGGAAUAAUUGCCAAUGA